GACGAACGCUGGCGGCGUGCUUAACACAUGCAAGUCGAACGGUGAAGCGCCUUCCUUUUUGGUGGGUGUGGAUGAGUGGCGAACGGGUGAGUAACACGUGAGUAACCUGCCCCCUUCUUCUGGAUAACCGCAUGAAAGUGUUGCUAAUACGGGAUAUUCUGGGUCUGUCGCAUGAUGGGUCUGGGAAAGAUAUUGUUUCGGUGGGGGAUGGGCUCGCGGCCUAUCAGCUUGUUGGUGGGGUGAUGGCCUACCAAGGCGGUGACGGGUAGCCGGCCUGAGAGGGUGGACGGUCACACUGGGACUGAGACACGGCGCAGACUACUACAGGAGGCAGCAGUGGGGAAUAUUGCACAAUGGGCGCAAGCCUGAUGCAGCGACGCCGCGUGAGGGAUGGAGGCCUUCGGGUUGUGAACCUCUUUCGCCAGUGAAGCAGGCCUGCCUCGUUUGUGGGUGGGUUGACGGUAGCUGGAUAAGAAGCGCCGGCUAACUACGUG
RNAcentral lists this ribosomal RNA (494 nucleotides) under uncultured bacterium. RNAcentral's name for it is "partial 16S ribosomal RNA". It matches the Rfam family "Bacterial small subunit ribosomal RNA", at positions 28 to 507 of the family's 1533-position model. The record is from RNAcentral.